Molecule: long non-coding RNA, 728 nt
Organism: Paramisgurnus dabryanus
Lineage: Eukaryota; Metazoa; Chordata; Actinopteri; Cypriniformes; Cobitidae
Source: RefSeq, a predicted model, not a curated record
AGGAACUUUUAUUUUGGAAAAAGAACUGCUGCUGUUUCAAGACAUGCGCACUAGCUGCGACAUCUAGUGACGACAUUUACCGGGCUUUAACGGUUGUUGCUGCAUGAAGUCUGCUGCAAUUUCUCUGAGAUUUCUCAAGAUCAUCAGUUUGGACAGAAUUCAUUUGAAGAAUUAAUAGCACUAGCAGGUUCCAAUAAAGGCUGGAACAGAACAGACAGAAAAGAAUCUGUCAGAAGAAAUUCAACUACUGUUCGUGCACCAGAUGGUGAAGUAGAAAAGUUCGUAAAAACUUCUGCAGCUUGCAUCUGACAGAGAUGCAAAAAGAAUAAGAGAGCGGGCCUGAAAACAAGCAAAUUCAAGUCUUUCCUUCUUUUAGGGUACACUUGAGGAGUGUCCAGAUGUUUAUUAAUGUUUUAUUAAUAUUCGCAGCUGGACACAUCCUUCUACACUGUAUGCAAACAUGCAACAUCAUUACACACAGUACAAGGAGUCAGACUGGCAUAUGAGGAGCAAAGGAACCCAGACAGUAGCAUCGUUUCACAAUGUUUCCAUCACCAUCAUCAGUGGAUGCCUUUGCCGUCCGUAGCCUGAGAUUUCAGAUUUGCAGCAAAAAAAUUGGAUUUUCUCAUUUAUUGGAAUGCUAUGCAGGUUGUACCUUGCAGCCAUCCAUUACAAUGUCACCAAGCCGUAACAAAAGCAGGAGAGGGAAAGUACAAGGCUAUGUUCCC